Molecule: long non-coding RNA, 623 nt
Filed under: Mytilus galloprovincialis (Mediterranean mussel)
Lineage: Eukaryota; Metazoa; Mollusca; Bivalvia; Mytilida; Mytilidae
Source: RNAcentral
CAGGUUGCAGAUAUACUAUGCCAUGGAAAGUUCCGAAAGAACAGAUGUCAUGCCAAGGUCAUACAAAGGACACUUGAACUUUAUAUGAAAGGAGAAGAUAAAAACAUGAAAAAAGAAACCGACUGCAGUCAAACCGAAGAGAGUGACAAUUAAGGAUGAUUUGGAAUGGUAGGAAUCAAAUCAAAGCUCGUUGGAAAAGUCACUCACAAGUAACAGAAAUCAUCCAAGUACACAUUGGUUGCAUCAAAUUCGGACAUUGCAAGGGUAAUGAAACAACCAAGAUAACAUCUAUAUUUGCAGUCGAGAUAAUAAUCAGCCGUUUUGUCAAAAGUCGGAAAAGAAUUAUAUGUGGUUCCGAUUGGUCCGCUCGGUGAAAGUGAAUAUAUUUCAUAAGUAACUAGUGUGACUUGUUUAUUCAGAAAAGGUGUUUCAUUCUUUUUGUUGUUUUCUGAUUCCAAACUAACAAAUCUAAGCGGAGUGUUACCAUAAUUAUUGACGUUUCCGUGUUUACUUAUUUAUGACACAAAACCUGUAAGGUACCAUGGAAAAUAUAUGACUUUGGGAAGAUGGUCAGACUAUGAACAAAAAGAUAUGGACGAUAUAGGCCACGCUAACGGUUUAGC